AACGAACGCUGGCGGCAUGCCUAACACAUGCAAGUCGAACGAGACCUUCGGGUCUAGUGGCGCACGGGUGCGUAACGCGUGGGAACCUGCCCUUAGGUUCGGAAUAACUCCCCGAAGGGGGUGCUAAUACCGGUUAAUGUCUUCGGACCAAAGAUUUAUCGCCUUUGGAUGGGCCCGCGUUGGAUUCGCUGGUUGGUAGGGUAAAAGCCUACCAAGGCGACGAUCCAUGGCUGGUCUGAGAGGAUGAUCAGCCACACUGGGACUGAGACACGGCCCAGACUCCUACGGGAGGCAGCAGUGGGGAAUAUUGGACAAUGGGCGAAAGCCUGAUCCAGCAAUGCCGCGUGAGUGAUGAAGGCCUUAGGGUUGUAAAGCUCUUUUACCCGGGAUGAUAAUGGCAGUACCGGGAGAAUAAGCUCCGGCUAACUCCGUG
RNAcentral lists this ribosomal RNA (433 nucleotides) under uncultured bacterium. RNAcentral describes it as "partial 16S ribosomal RNA". It matches the Rfam family "Bacterial small subunit ribosomal RNA", at positions 29 to 507 of the family's 1533-position model. The record is from RNAcentral.